This 372-nucleotide ribosomal RNA is filed under the name uncultured bacterium. RNAcentral's name for it is "partial 16S ribosomal RNA". It matches the Rfam family "Bacterial small subunit ribosomal RNA", at positions 524 to 898 of the family's 1533-position model. The record is from RNAcentral.
UACGGAGGAUCCAAGCGUUAUCCGGAUUUAUUGGGUUUAAAGGGUGCGUAGGCGGACUAUUAAGUCAGAGGUGAAAUCCGGCAGCUCAACUGUCAAACUACCUUUGAUACUGAUAGUCUUGAGUGUAUUUGAUGUGGGCGGAAUAUGUCAUGUAGCGGUGAAAUGCUUAGAUAUGACAUAGAACACCGAUUGCGAAGGCAGCUCACAAAACUACAACUGACGCUGAGGCACGAAAGCGUGGGGAGCAAACAGGAUUAGAUACCCUGGUAGUCCACGCCGUAAACUAUGAUCACUCGAUGUAUGCGAUACACUGUAUGCGUCUUAGCGAAAGCGUUAAGUGAUCCACCUGGGGAGUACGAUCGCAAGGUUGAA